Molecule: transfer RNA, 73 nt
Filed under: Serratia liquefaciens
Lineage: Bacteria; Pseudomonadati; Pseudomonadota; Gammaproteobacteria; Enterobacterales; Yersiniaceae
Also listed under: 15 other names
Description: tRNA-Met
Rfam family: tRNA
About the family: Transfer RNA (tRNA) molecules are approximately 80 nucleotides in length.
Source: RNAcentral
CGCGGGGUGGAGCAGCCUGGUAGCUCGUCGGGCUCAUAACCCGAAGGUCGUCGGUUCAAAUCCGGCCUCCGCA